RNAcentral lists this ribosomal RNA (450 nucleotides) under uncultured bacterium. RNAcentral's name for it is "partial 16S ribosomal RNA". It matches the Rfam family "Bacterial small subunit ribosomal RNA", at positions 354 to 796 of the family's 1533-position model. The record is from RNAcentral.
GUGGGGAAUUUUGGACAAUGGGCGCAAGCCUGAUCCAGCCAUGCCGCGUGCAGGAUGAAGGCCUUCGGGUUGUAAACUGCUUUUGUACGGAACGAAAAGACUCUGGUUAAUACCUGGGGUCCAUGACGGUACCGUAAGAAUAAGCACCGGCUAACUACGUGCCAGCAGCCGCGGUAAUACGUAGGGUGCAAGCGUUAAUCGGAAUUACUGGGCGUAAAGCGUGCGCAGGCGGUUAUAUAAGACAGAUGUGAAAUCCCCGGGCUCAACCUGGGAAUUGCGCUUGUGACUGCAAGGCUGGAGUGCGGCAGAGGGGGAUGGAAUUCCGCGUGUAGCAGUGAAAUGCGUAGAUAUGCGGAGGAACACCGAUGGCGAAGGCAAUCCCCUGGGCCUGCACUGACGCUCAUGCACGAAAGCGUGGGGAGCAAACAGGAUUAGAUACCCGGGUAGUCC